Molecule: ribosomal RNA, 500 nt
Filed under: uncultured Glomeromycotina
Lineage: Eukaryota; Fungi; Glomeromycota
Description: partial small subunit ribosomal RNA
Rfam family: Eukaryotic small subunit ribosomal RNA
Source: RNAcentral
CCAAUAGCGCAUAUUAAAGUUGUUGCAGUUAAAAAGCUCGUAGUUGAAUUUCGGGGUCAGUAGAUUGGUCAUGCCUCCGGUAUGUACUGGUCUUACUGGCUCCUCCUUCCUGAUGAACCGUAAUGCCAUUACUUUGGUGUUGCGGGGAGACUGGACUGUUACUUUGACAACAUUAGAGUGUUUAAAGCAGGCUAACGCUUGAAUACAUUAGCAUGGCAUAAUGAAAUAGGACGUUCGAUCUUAUUUUGUUGGUUUCUAAGAUUGACGUAAUGAUUAAUAGGGAUAGUUGGGGGCAUUAGUAUUCAAUUGUCAGAGGUGAAAUUCUUGGAUUUAUUGAAGACUAACUACUGCGAAAGCAUUUGCCAAGGAUGUUUUCAUUAAUCAAGAACGAAAGUUAGGGGAUCGAAGACGAUCAGAUACCGUCGUAGUCUUAACCAUAAACUAUGCCGACUAGGGAUCGGAUGAUGUUAAUUUUUUAAUGACUCAUUCGGCGCCUUACG